AUUGAACGCUGGCGGCAUGCUUUACACAUGCAAGUCGAACGGCAGCGCGGGCUUCGGCCUGGCGGCGAGUGGCGAACGGGUGAGUAAUACAUCGGAACGUGCCCAGUAGUGGGGGAUAGCUCAGCGAAAGCCGGAUUAAUACCGCAUACGACCUGAGGGUGAAAGCGGGGGAUCUUCGGACCUUGCGCUAUUGGAGCGGCCGAUGGCAGAUUAGCUAGUUGGUGGGGUAAAGGCCUACCAAGGCGACGAUCUGUAGCUGGUCUGAGAGGACGACCAGCCACACUGGGACUGAGACACGGCCCAGACUCCUACGGGAGGCAGCAGUGGGGAAUUUUGGACAAAGGGCGAAAGCCUGAUCCAGCAAUGCCGCGUGUGUGAUGAAGGCCUUCGGGUUGUAAAGCACUUUUGGCGGGAACGAAAAGGACUGUGCCAAUACCACGGUUCGAUGACGGUACCCGCAGAAUAAGCACCGGCUAACUACGUG
This 484-nucleotide ribosomal RNA is filed under the name uncultured bacterium. Its description in RNAcentral is "partial 16S ribosomal RNA". It matches the Rfam family "Bacterial small subunit ribosomal RNA", at positions 29 to 507 of the family's 1533-position model. The record is from RNAcentral.